Molecule: ribosomal RNA, 460 nt
Filed under: uncultured bacterium
Lineage: Bacteria
Description: partial 16S ribosomal RNA
Rfam family: Bacterial small subunit ribosomal RNA
Source: RNAcentral
CCUACGGGUGGCAGCAGUGAGGAAUAUUGGUCAAUGGGCGGAAGCCUGAACCAGCCAAGUAGCGUGCAGGAUGACGGCCCUACGGGUUGUAAACUGCUUUUAUACGGGAAUAACGCGCCUUACGUGUAGGUCUUUGCAUGUACCGUAUGAAUAAGGACCGGCUAAUUCCGUGCCAGCAGCCGCGGUAAUACGGAGGGUGCGAGCGUUAUCCGGAUUUAUUGGGUUUAAAGGGAGCGUAGGCCGCAUGUCAAGCGUGCUGUGAAAUGUUCGGGCUCAACCCGGGACUUGCCGCGGGAACUGGCGGGCUUGAGUGCGCGGAAGGCAGGCGGAAUGCGUGGUGUAGCGGUGAAAUGCUUAGAUAUGACGCAGAACCCCGAUUGCGAAGGCAGCUUGCUGCAGCGGAACUGACGCUGAUGCUCGAAAGCGUGGGUAUCGAACAGGAUUAGAUACCCGAGUAGUC